UUGAACGCUGGCGGAAUGCUUUACACAUGCAAGUCGAACGGCAGCACGGGGGCAACCCUGGUGGCGAGUGGCGAACGGGUGAGUAAUAUAUCGGAACAUAUCCUGUCGUGGGGGAUAACUAAUCGAAAGGUUAGCUAAUACCGCAUACGACCUGAGGGAGAAAGCGGGGGCUCGCAAGACCUCGCGCGAUUGGAGUGGCCGAUAUCUGAUUAGCUAGAUGGUGAGGUAAAGGCUCACCAUGGCGACGAUCAGUAGCUGGUCUGAGAGGAUGAUCAGCCACACUGGGACUGAGACACGGCCCAGACUCCUACGGGAGGCAGCAGUGGGGAAUUUUGGACAAUGGGGGCAACCCUGAUCCAGCCAUUCCGCGUGAGUGAAGAAGGCCUUCGGGUUGUAAAGCUCUUUCAGCAGGAGCGAAACGGUCGUUUUUAAUACAGACGGCUAAUGACGGUACCUGCAGAAGAAGCACCGGCUAACUACGU
RNAcentral lists this ribosomal RNA (482 nucleotides) under uncultured bacterium. RNAcentral's name for it is "bacterial SSU rRNA". It matches the Rfam family "Bacterial small subunit ribosomal RNA", at positions 30 to 506 of the family's 1533-position model. The record is from RNAcentral.